RNAcentral lists this ribosomal RNA (204 nucleotides) under Triticum aestivum (bread wheat). Its description in RNAcentral is "partial small subunit ribosomal RNA". Lineage: Eukaryota; Viridiplantae; Streptophyta; Magnoliopsida; Poales; Poaceae. The record is from RNAcentral.
AUGCCUACUUUUUUUGAAACAUUUCCGGUUGUUUUGGUACAUGAGGAGGGAAUUGUUAGAGCAGACGUUCCUUUUAGAAGAGCAGAAUCCAAAUAUAGUGUUGAACAAGUAGGUGUAACGGUGGAGUUCUAUGGUGGCGAACUUAAUGGAGUAAGUUAUUCUGAUCCUGCUACUAUAAAAAAUAUGCGAGGCGUUCUCAAUUAG